GUCUACGGCCAUGCCACCCUGAAUGCCCCCGAUCUCGUCUGAUCUGGGAAGCCAAGCAGGGUCGGGCCUGGUUAGUACUUGGAUGGGAGAUAUGAUAGCACAAUACAGACAAAAAAUGAGCAAAUCCUGGACU
Dipodomys ordii (Ord's kangaroo rat) is the source of this 133-nucleotide ribosomal RNA. The record is from Ensembl. Lineage: Eukaryota; Metazoa; Chordata; Mammalia; Rodentia; Heteromyidae.